Molecule: non-coding RNA, 183 nt
Filed under: Bacilli bacterium
Lineage: Bacteria; Bacillati; Bacillota; Bacilli
Description: 6S RNA
Rfam family: 6S / SsrS RNA
About the family: E. coli 6S RNA was the first non coding RNA to be sequenced, but its function was unknown until recently. It consists of 184 nucleotides that fold into an extended hairpin structure with a large single-stranded internal bulge.
Source: RNAcentral
AAGUGUCUAGAGGAUGCGAUUCUAGCAAAUAUAAAACCGACUAAAUUAACGAUAAGGGAAUCUUGAAAUCAGUUUAUCCGUGUUGAAUGCCUUUUAUUAGGAAUCCUAAAGAUAAAAUAAAGAUGCCCACCUGUACAAAGACAGGUUUUAUCGUAUGCAAAGACCGCUCCUAUUGGACUUUUU